RNAcentral lists this ribosomal RNA (199 nucleotides) under uncultured bacterium. RNAcentral's name for it is "partial 16S ribosomal RNA". It matches the Rfam family "Bacterial small subunit ribosomal RNA", at positions 1294 to 1500 of the family's 1533-position model. The record is from RNAcentral.
CGGACUGCAGGCUGCAACUCGCCUGCACGAAGUUGGAAUUGCUAGUAAUCGUGGAUCAGCAUGCCACGGUGAAUACGUUCCCGGGUCUUGUACACACCGCCCGUCACACCAUGGGAGCCGGGGGGCGCUUGAAGUGCGUUGCCGCAAGGCGCGCCCUAGAGCGAAACCGGUGACUGGGGCUAAGUCGUAACAAGGUAAC